RNAcentral lists this ribosomal RNA (468 nucleotides) under uncultured bacterium. Its description in RNAcentral is "partial 16S ribosomal RNA". It matches the Rfam family "Bacterial small subunit ribosomal RNA", at positions 28 to 507 of the family's 1533-position model. The record is from RNAcentral.
GACGAACGCUGGCGGUGUGCUUAACACAUGCAAGUCGAACGGAAAGGCCCUGCUUUCGUGGGGUGCCCGAUUGGCGAACGGGUGAGUAUCACGUGAGUAACCUGCCCUUGCCUCUGGGAUAACUUCAGGACACUGGGGCUAAUACCGGAAAGGCGCACCUGCUGCUUGGUGGGGGUUGGAAAGUUUCGGCGGUAGGGGAUGGACUCGAGGCUUAUCAGCUUGUUGGUGGGGUAGUGGGUUACCACGGCUUUGACGGGUAGCCGGCCUGAGAGGGUGACCGGCCAAAGUGGGACUGUGAUACGGGCCGGAGUCGUGCGGGAGGCAGCAGUGGGGAAUAGUGCAUGAUGGACGGAAGCCUGAUGCAGCAACGCCGCGUGCGGGAUGACGGCCUUCGGGUUGUAGACCGCUUUCGCCUGCGACGGAGCGUGAGUGACGGUAAUGGGUGAAGAAGCACCGGCUAACUACGUG